CAAUAGCGUAUAUUAAAGCUGUUGCAGUUAAAAAGCUCGUAGUUGGAUUUCUGGUGGGAGCGAUCGGUCUGGCGCUUAGCGCGAGUACUUGCAUCGUCUCCGGCCAUCCUUGGGGAAAGUCUGUCUGGCAUUAAGUUGUCGGGCAGAGGAUCCUCAUCGUUUACUGUGAAAAAAUUAGAGUGUUCAAAGCAGGCUUAUGCCGUUGAAUAUAUUAGCAUGGAAUAAUAAGAUAGGACUUUGGUACUAUUUUGUUGGUUUGCGCACCAAAGUAAUGAUUAAUAGGGACAGUUGGGGGUAUUCGUAUUCCGUUGUCAGAGGUGAAAUUCUUGGAUUUACGGAAGACGAACUACUGCGAAAGCAUUUACCAAGGAUGUUUUCAUUAA
This 383-nucleotide ribosomal RNA is filed under the name uncultured eukaryote. Its description in RNAcentral is "partial 18S ribosomal RNA". It matches the Rfam family "Eukaryotic small subunit ribosomal RNA", at positions 592 to 976 of the family's 1831-position model. The record is from RNAcentral.